This 2079-nucleotide unclassified non-coding RNA is filed under the name Hevea brasiliensis (rubber tree). Lineage: Eukaryota; Viridiplantae; Streptophyta; Magnoliopsida; Malpighiales; Euphorbiaceae. The record is from RNAcentral.
UAACACAAUAGAUUUUUAUUCAAUACCCCUUGCCAAUUUAAGCAUAAACAGUUCCACAACCAUACACAUCUGGGAAAAACUAAUAUUACUCAUAUCCUUUUUCAGAAAACUAUAAUUACAUUAAAGCAUCAUCAGUUUCAGCUUCAUCACCAAUGUAAAUGUAUAUACGUAUAUAAACUUAUGAACCCCUAAACAGAACUUAUUGACAACUUAGUAGUAACGAAUGAGCCAUGUAAAUGCUUGUCACACUAGAGUUGUGUGUUAUGCUUGCUCUGCCCUGCUCAUGUGGCACAUCAUAUAUAUACUCUAAUCAUAUAAUCCAUCCACAUACGCCACGCCAGUAGACCUCAACCAUGAUCCGCCCUGAAUCAGCUUAGCCACAGUGAACGGCAUAGCUUUAGCGGGAUCAGUAAUGACAUGAUAACCAGGCCACUUGACACGCUUACUAGUACCAGCACCAGGUCCAUUGUUCAUAAAUUCACCAUAAUACAAUGUCUUCAACGCAAAAUCUCCGUCCCACUCAGCCCAACCCGCUGGAUUAAUGAGACCACCUAAGUAUGAUUCCAUCACUACAGUUCUUGAAUAUUUUUUCCAUGGCCUACCAAGAUAUGUUGGGAAUUCUUUCAGGACUGGUUCUAGGUCCGAACUUGCUAUUAUGUUACAGAACUGAAUUGAUGUCCCCGUGGCCUGAUUUGGGUCCGUCCUGCCUUGUGCAGUCACCAUGUUUUGCUGGUAUUUACCCGGUUUUCUAGCUACGAGCUGGCAUUUCUGGAAUACAACUGCUGCAUUACCAAAUAUGAAAUCAACAGUACCUGUCACGUAGGAGUCUCGAUAGAAUUGCCUUUGAGAAUGUGCAUAAAGGGUGUCUUGAUAAGCAUCGAUACGACAACGAUUUAUGACAGACAUAUCAGCUCCAACUCGAAGUGCCACUGCUUGGUCUUUCGCUGGCCCUGCUGUGUUCUGUAUACAUAUGUCCUGUAGUAUAAAUCCUUGGCCGACUGCAGCAAGAGUGGCAGAGCGGAAGGUUGUUGAUCCAUCGACAACAUUAAGGCUACCAGUAAUGGUCGUAGCAUACAUUCCAUCACCAACAAUCAUCAAGUUCAUUUUAUUGCUAGCCACCUCAACAUUCUCUUUAUAAGUUCCCCUCUUUACAUAAAUUACAUAACGCGUCUUACUCUUAUCUGGUGCUGCAGCAACUGCUUCAGCAAGUGUUUGAUAAUCCCCCGUUCCAUCUUGUGCCACCACUGCAUUCGCUAUAAUGUCCUUACCCGAACUCUCCAUCAGCUUCCUAUCCAUCGAACUCACCCAAGAUGGCAUUUUUCCUAAAACCGUCAUGAAAACAUCCUCAUCCUGAGUUGUCAAAGACGCAAGCAUCGCUAAUGCUACCUUAGCUCUCGAGAUCAACUCUUCAAGAUUCGUUCCAUUUAUCAUAGCUUUAGUAAAGGAAUCAAGCUCAUCCAAGCACGUAACGUGGUUAGUAAGCACACCACUUAGCCAACUUUGCGCAUUGGCAUGCUCCGAACGACUUCUCUUAUCAAUUGCUGCAAUUGAAUCACAUACUAAAUCAACUGACAGAUCAAGAAGCUCAAGACAAUCAGUUAAAGCCCCUUGUUCACGAAUGUCAUUGAUCUGAUUCUUCAUUUUGCGAACCACUGGAAUUGCAUUGUUCAUUUGAUGAACAGAGUAAACUAAAAAUUUCUUCAGAAUACUUAGUCCAUCUGAAUCAGAUGUGACAAUUUCAUUGGAUAUUAAAUCAGAAACAUAACUGAGACAGAGUUGGGAAUCUUGUGCAGUUUUACACAGAUUAGAAUGUUUAAUCUCAAAUUGAUAUGGAGCAACAAGAAACACAACUAAGAAGAGAGCAACAAACAAAGUUAUAACAAAACUGAGGAUCUUGAAGCUGAUUAUUGGAUUUUGUUUGUGUGUUUUUAUUAACAAAGGUUGUUGAGGAUUAGCCAUUUUAGAAGUUUGCAAACUAUGUGUGUUGAGUGUUUUGAUACACUUUCACUUACUAUAAUACUUUGUUUAUAUAAUAUGAGGCAUGACGUAUUUUAUGCGGUCAAACUUUAACCUAGAUAA